GACGAACGCUGGCGGCAUGCCUAAUACAUGCAAGUCGAGCGAACAGAUGAAGUUCUUGCACUUCUGACGUUAGCGGCGAACGGGUGAGUAACACGUAAGGAAUCUAUCUAUAAGCGGGGGAUAACAUUCGGAAACGGGUGCUAAUACCGCAUAAUAUCUUCUUCCGCAUGGAAGAAGAUUGAAAGACGGCUCUGCUGUCACGUAUAGAUGACCUUGCGGUGCAUUAGGUAGUUGGUGGGGUAACGGCCUACCAAGACGAUGAUGCAUAGCCGACCUGAGAGGGUGAUAGGCCACAUUGGGACUGAGACGCGGACCAAAGUCCUACGGGAGGCAGCAGUAGGGAAUCUUCCGCAACGGGCGAGAGCCUGACGGAGCAAUGCCGCGUGAGUGAAGAAGGCCUUCGGGUCGUAAAACUCUGCUAUAAGAGAAGAACAAAUUGUAGAGUAACUGCUACAGUCUUGACGGUAUCUUAUCAGAAAGCCACGGCUAACUACGUG
Molecule: ribosomal RNA, 497 nt
Filed under: uncultured bacterium
Lineage: Bacteria
Description: partial 16S ribosomal RNA
Rfam family: Bacterial small subunit ribosomal RNA
Source: RNAcentral